Oncorhynchus gorbuscha (pink salmon) is the source of this 2946-nucleotide long non-coding RNA. RefSeq lists it as uncharacterized. The transcript is spliced from 4 exons. Lineage: Eukaryota; Metazoa; Chordata; Actinopteri; Salmoniformes; Salmonidae. The record is from RefSeq and is a predicted model, not a curated record.
GUGGAGAAGGGUACCUCUCGUAUAGAAUCAAAACCAUUCAGAGGAAUUUGGCUUCAUCAGAGAAACGGCCCACUCAACUAUACUCUGGAGUGCCAACUGUUGAGAGGGAGCCCAGUCCAUCCACUUUGGCUACCCUGAGUGACGACCAGUGCUGAGAGGCUAGGAAAUUGACCUUUGAGUACAGGAAGAAGAUGACUCACGACCCGGGUAAAUGCUCCACCAUCCUAACCGAAUUUCCACACUUUCUGGAUGUGAAGGGCUUGAUUGACCAGGAUUUUAUGCUGCUGUUUGGAGAGGGAACAUCAGACAAGUUUUUGGAGAGGUGGCCAACUACAUUCAAGCAAAAUACCAUCAUGCUAAGCAAGACCCUAAGCAAGGCCACUCAGGGAGCUGAACUUCAGGAGCUGAUCCAGAUGGCAGAAUCUGCAGUUGAUGAGGGAGCUGACACGAAUGCUGAUGGAUGGGACGAUGAACUUUCGUCCAUCCUUCUCCUGCUCCAAUUGAUUCUUCCUUCAUCACAAGGCUGAAAAGGACCAGGCAAGAUGUCUGCAUCCCAAACUGAACAGCAUCUUGUGAUAUUCCAAAAGGCAGGAACCAGUAUCCAGGAGCACCUUGAUGUGAUUAACCAGAGCCGCCAACCAUGUCGAGACCAGGAAGAGCAGCAUCCACGCUUACUUCUUCCUCCCGGACAAGCUAGCCUUGCCGUGCAAGUCAACGAGCGCUCUUGGUGCCUUCGAUGAGCUUUUCAAGACUCACUUUGUUUUUGGUACGGCUUACAAUACAAUGCUGCGCAACAUGUACACCUUCAUACAGACAGCAUAUACAACAUAGACAUUGGGAAGGUUAAGGAGACUCCGAGGGUUGCUGAGAUCAGAACUAAACUCCUGUACUAACGCUGAUUAAGUUCUAAUGAUAUGUUUUGUUUGCCAUGCUAGUCAUGGAAGUACCAACUUUUUCGUGAGGCAUCUCAAGUUGAUGCAUGGAUUGUUCCCUGGUAGAACUCGUAGACUAACAUGUGGUCAAGCAGAUUGUUGUCGGGGAUUUGGUACAUUUUCAGGAAGCAGUUGAGAAGUGCACAUUCCGGAGACUCAGAUUUUGUUAAACACUAACUUUGAUGCUAAUACAGCCAUUGAUAGUUAGCCAAAUAAUGCUAAUUUCCCUUCAAAUUCUAGUUGUAACCAUGUUGUACCAAUAUCUAACAAAAACACACUUGAUAUGUGUACGUCUGCUAUUGCACAGCUGCAGGUGUUGGUCAGAUGACUGUAAAUAGUUUUGUAUCUUCCAUGGAAGAAGCAGUUCAAGAGAUACAGGGUCAAGCUAAAGUGUCUGCUCUUACACGUAUAUCUUCAAAAGACACAGAAACAGUCUUUUCAGGAUAUUGAAAAUCCUUGCACAUUGUUGAAUUCGGUAUCAAAACGAAGUGCUUAUUUCAUACAAAAAUUAAGAACAGUUCAACCAGUUGAGAAAGUCCUUGGUGUUAGAUUUGACAAUAGAAGAAACAACACUACUGGAACUUAUGAUCAAAUAGUCAUAACUUAUACAUUUUCUGACGUUCCAAUUCUCCCGACAUUGCAGUCAAUUUUGAAGAACCCAAACACAAGUGACAUGUUUAACUUGGGGCACAAUUUUAAAGAUGGACUAUAUAUGAAGAGACAUAUUUACAUUUACAUUUAAGUCAUUUAGCAGACGCUCUUAUCCAGAGCGACUUACAAAUAUAGGGCGUAUACAUGGCAGUAUCGUCAAAGUAACUGGAGAUAAUCUUGGUACACAUUGCCUGUUUGAUUUUGUGGAAUCUUUUGGUGCUAGUUUUUGUUGACGUUUUUGCCUCACUGAGAAAGUGGAUUUUCAAACUGUUGCCCUCAUGAGUGACUUUAUGAACAAAACACAUGCACUCAGACCAUUGUCAAACUUUUCAGUCAAACCCAAACACUACCUCAUGUGUACGGUGUGAAGCAUGCUUACUUAUUGAACUCUCUGCAGUACUUCAAUAUGGCAGACACUUUUUUCGUUGAUAUAAUGCAUGACAUUUUAGAAGGAGUUGCACAAUUUGAGGUAAAACUUGUCUUACAGUAAGAGGAUAAAUACUGGCAUCUACUUCUGUUACUACUACUACACAUUGUAAAUAUUGACUAUCUGUCUGAAGCAGUUAAUUGCUGAACAUCAUAGGCUUUUCAAGUAUCUGUUUCCUGACAGAAAUCUGUUUACCGAAACACCACUUCAUGAUACAAUAUCCUCAUUGUAUAAGGAAUAUUGGGCCCAUUCUUCACUCGUGUAUGCGCUACAAGGCAAAACAGAAUUUCUUUAAAAAAGCAAUUGUAGAGUUUUAAGAAUGUCACUAUGAACUUAGCCAAGGAACACCAAAAUCACAUGGCAUAUAAUUGGGAAACGUUCAGCCAGGAUAGACUAGCUUCAGAUCAAGGCUCAAGGCUGAAAGAAGGCCAUGAGAUCGCUGCCAAGUUGAUUGUCUCAGUGCGCACAAAUGUUUUGUCAGUUAAAUGGGUAAAGCCCCAUGGUAUAGAAUAUAGUCUUGAUUUGGUCAUAUGUGGUGAAGUAGCCAUUGAAAUGCCAGUAUUUUACAAGAUUACGGUUAUUGUUCUUAAAGAGGAAAAUGUUGUUUUGGGUUGGGUCAGCUCUUGAAGCAUUAUGUUUUGAUCAUUUGCAUGCAUUUACAGUUGUUCUGAAGCAAAGUCCACCAUGCAAGGUAUUUCAUGUAAAUGACAUCGUGUACCACAAACCUUUUCAUUUGCUCAUGUCAUAUGGAGUAAUGGAUUUUCUUGACUACAUUGUCCCCUACUGUGACUUGAUAACAGUUUAAGCCAGGGCUGAGAGUUACAGAUAGGUUGUGAGAAACAUAUUUGAAUGUUGAAACAGCUUUGCUUGAGUUUAUUGUGAAAUUCCAAGUGCUUUUACAAAAUAUAAUUUCCAUUUACAUGGGGGAAGAGUAAA